GACGAACGCUGGCGGCGUGCUUAACACAUGCAAGUCGAACGGAAAGGCCCUGCUUUUGUGGGGUGCUCGAGUGGCGAACGGGUGAGUAACACGUGAGUAACCUGCCCUUGACUUUGGGAUAACUUCAGGAAACUGGGGCUAAUACCGGAUAGGAGCUCCUGCUCCAUGGUGGGGGUUGGAAAGUUUCGGCGGUUGGGGAUGGACUCGCGGCUUAUCAGCUUGUUGGUGGGGUAGUGGCUUACCAAGGCUUUGACGGGUAGCCGGCCUGAGAGGGUGACCGGCCACAAUGGGACUGAGAUACGGCCCAGACUCCUACGGGAGGCAGCAGUGGGGAAUAUUGCACAAUGGGCGGAAGCCUGAUGCAGCAACGCCGCGUGCGGGAUGACGGCCUUCGGGUUGUAAACCGCUUUCGCCUGUGACGAAGCGUGAGUGACGGUAAUGGGUAAAGAAGCACCGGCUAACUACGUG
RNAcentral lists this ribosomal RNA (468 nucleotides) under uncultured bacterium. Its description in RNAcentral is "partial 16S ribosomal RNA". It matches the Rfam family "Bacterial small subunit ribosomal RNA", at positions 28 to 507 of the family's 1533-position model. The record is from RNAcentral.